GUGCAUGGGCCGUUCUUAGUUCGUGGAGUGAUCUGUCUGCUUAAUUGCGUUUCAAAAUUUAAACCUGAGCGACAAGGUGCUGCUAUCGAAACUGUCUUUGAGUGUGAACUAUAAGUCUUUUGACUUAUGACCAUCACUCUAGACGUUUAUGUUUUGGUGUUGGCCCUUGAUGCUCAUUUGAACGCAACGGACGUGAUUGCAACCCCUUGUUGAGAUUUAUCCGAUCUCUACGUUCACUGAACCACACUCUUUAGCGAGAGCAGUGGGGAUGUGGAUAAACUCGGGGGACUGCUGACUAUAAACUUUUCUCAAACCAGAGGAAGGUUGCGGCAAUAACAGGUCUGUGAUGCCCUCAGAUGUUCCGGGCUGCACACGUGCUACAUUUAGUAGCGCAGUGUGCACAUUAAUAGAGUGAUAGGUUCCGUGGUUUGUACAUUUUAAGGGCUCGUCCUAGUAACCAAAGCUCCACGGGACAUAUCAACCUUCCCCUUACAGGGCGGGUAACCUCUUCGAAGUGCUGGCAUGAUUUCCCUAGUUUUGGCAUUUGAAUCCUUGUCGCAGCAGCCCUGAGACGUAGUGAA
RNAcentral lists this ribosomal RNA (581 nucleotides) under Globigerinoides elongatus. RNAcentral's name for it is "SSU rRNA". The stretch from base 1 to 381 matches the Rfam family "Eukaryotic small subunit ribosomal RNA", at positions 1280 to 1501 of the family's 1831-position model. The record is from RNAcentral. Lineage: Eukaryota; Foraminifera; Rotaliida; Globigerinidae.